CCCUUUUAGUUAUAACGAGACCGAAGGAUGAUUGAUUUGUCAUUUGUCUCUCGAGCGAGAGGCACUUACUACAGCUCCUUCUUCUCCUUCUUCUUCUUCGUCACACCUCGUGCGACGACGAUGGACCAGUACGAGAGUCGUCACACUUAGAGGUCUUCGUACGAACGGCACGGAAGAAGGCCCACGUGGCCUCCGACCGUACACUCGUCCCCACGAAGUCACUACGUCUUCUUUUUUCCGUUCAGAAUAGCCGUUCCCUUCCGAUGCGGAAAGAAGGUCCAGAGGGAGAGAGGUAGAUUUAGACACAAACCUCCUCCCCCGAUGCCAAUCAAGUGGGUGGCCAAAUGACACAGGAACACUCAACACUAGUAAUAGUACGUGAGCAGUCAACGAACUGUACAUACCACAGCAAGAACUUAAAAGUCGAUGUAUAUUACCAGCCAACACACUCACUUACCCUCACACAAGUACACAGCCAGACACACAGCUGACAGUGACACUCAGUUAAUCGAUUUUCUUCACACUACACACCCAAGUCGCUCCCUCAUUGUCAGUGACUUAUUCUUACAUUCACAGGAUAGUAUAUACAUACAGAUUUUAUCAUUG
This 606-nucleotide ribosomal RNA is filed under the name Triticum aestivum (bread wheat). RNAcentral's name for it is "partial small subunit ribosomal RNA". The record is from RNAcentral. Lineage: Eukaryota; Viridiplantae; Streptophyta; Magnoliopsida; Poales; Poaceae.